AUGGCUUACUAUUCAGAUCAUCAUGCUUAUGCGAGCAACACUACAAACAGCACGGAAAGUAUUCAAGAAUCGAUAAGUAAGAUUUCCCAUCGAGUAGAUGAUUUAGCUCGGCAGCGAGAAGUAGUUUUUGAGGAUAGGCCUAGCUCUUAUGAUCCUUAUAGGCCUAGCUCUUAUGAUCCUUAUUCUAGAUGCCAUCCUUAUGUUGCUUCUACAUGCCAUAUUUGUGGAUUUCAGGGCCAUUCACCCGAUGAAUGUCAGCGUGGUUACUCUCACCCUCCCGAUUGUUAUGGCAUGAGCUUCGCCCCACAGCCUAGCUCAUACCAAAACAAUUACUCAUAUGGGUGGCCUGAAAACCAGAAUAUGUCAUAUAGGAACAACAACCCUGAGAUCUCACCGUUUGCUUCUAGUAAUCAUAUGCAGGGAUUUAGGUAUGAAGAGGAGAACAACAACUAUGCACCACAGCAAUUGUAUUCACCUCCUACUCAUAUACCACAACACCAGGAGAUGUUGCCAAUGGAGUUAAAUGGUCCUCCAUUUGGUCAACCAACACCUUCAACACAAGUGCCCAUACAAGAUGAUUUUGAUGAUAUAGACAAGCUCACAUUGCUUAGUCUCGAGUUCACUUGGAGUGCCGAAGAUGAUCCAAUUAGGCCGGUGAUACUAGAGGAAAUGAAGAAGAUCAAGAGUGGAAAAGAGCUAGUGGAAGAAGUAAGGAAGAUUGAGAAGAACAUCAACGCUGGCAGCACUAUUUCACAGCUUGAGUUGAGUGUGGCUGAGAUAUCCAUGGAUACAUGUGAGGUUCCAACACCUUCACAUUUAGUUGAGCAAGACACCGAGAGCCCAGAGGAAGAAAGACCUCAGAUUGAAGAAGAAAUUCUCGAAGCCAAGGAACAAGAUGAACCAGAGCUUGAAUGCCCAAGUGAUCAAGAUGAAGAUCCGCUACCUAUCACUCAUGAAGAAGUAAAAGAAGCUGAUGUAGUUGAAGACGAAGAACCUGAGAUUCAUUUUCCUAUUAUCAUACAAGAGCGUGAUGUGCCAGGUUUACCUAAUCCUCUUGAUGUCAUGCGUCUGUAUAGUUUAUUUGCUACUACCUUGCAUUACAUGAUUCCAUCACUUAAGAUUGAUUUGAAAACUCGUAUGCUUGGAUAUGAUGAUACAUACAUUGUUGGUGGCAUUGCUCUCAUUUAUGACGAUGACACUUAUUCUCCUCAUGCUAGACUUAUGCUUAAUGGUAAAUAUCAUCCUCAUGUUAGCAUUGAGCUUGCUGAUUCUUAUCAUACUCGUCAUAUUCUAUAUUCCUAUGCUUAUAUAAUUGGAUAUUCGAUUGACGACUUAGAGGGCAUCUACCCUAUCACUUGUAGUCGUUGUUUGUGUGAGUCCUAUUUCAGGUUUUUGCUUGUGCACGAUCCACUACAUGCUGACCAGGUUCGAGGUGACAUUCCUUGGGAUCCUGGUGGAGUCAGAGCAUGGCGAUGA
Molecule: ribosomal RNA, 1476 nt
Filed under: Triticum aestivum (bread wheat)
Lineage: Eukaryota; Viridiplantae; Streptophyta; Magnoliopsida; Poales; Poaceae
Description: partial small subunit ribosomal RNA
Source: RNAcentral